Long non-coding RNA from Pomacea canaliculata, 1844 nucleotides. RefSeq lists it as uncharacterized. Lineage: Eukaryota; Metazoa; Mollusca; Gastropoda; Architaenioglossa; Ampullariidae. The transcript is spliced from 3 exons. The record is from RefSeq and is a predicted model, not a curated record.
UCGACUUGUGGACAUUGUCCCACUUCGCAGUGUCACGACUGGUUCAGGGAUUUAAACUUCGUUGGUUUCGUGCUUACUGUUGUGUUUCCAACUUUUUGCAUUAAAAACCAUUUUCGUCACCAACAUUCUCUGCUCACGGAGGGUAGUGUAGGGAACCAUUGAGAAUUGUUUGUAUUUCCGAGGCAGUGCUUAUGACUGUUAGUAACACUGACAGCGGAGAGAGCUGUACUUAGGUACAGUCCUACAUUGUUAACGGCGUCGUCUGACCGAGCCACCUUCUUCAUACAAGAGAAGAGCACUCCUACAAACGAGGGGCGGAGACUUCGCUGACAGUUGAGCGAACGGCAAAGAUAAAAGAGCAGGACUCCUGACCGCAUGGUCAAGCAGGGCAGAUGUAGGCAGAGAGGCAGAACUGUGGACAUUCUGUAACCAGAGCCGGGAUCCAUUCUCCAGAAGACAACUACUUAGCCGGCAUGAGCAAGACAGCUAUGUCAACGCCACUUUAAGCGGACCUCACCCAUUUUCCCACAGUUAUCACAGUCUCCCUGGCAGACGACAGCGAGGAAUAAAAACUAGUCCACGAGUACACCAAACAAAGCUUUGUCCAAGGGAAUAAAAAUUACAGCAAGGGAGACAUUCUUCGUGAAUUUUCAACUCGAACCCAAGUAAAGGAGGCUCCACGAACUUCUCUCCUAUAUUCUGACAUCACUUUGCAGACUGCCUGGACAUAGCAACAAAUAGGGUAAAAAAUAAAACAAAAACAAAAGAAGAAGAUAUAUAGACUAGCUUCCGGUGACUGUUUUCACGCAGGUGUAAGAAGCAAAGGACAGAGCAUCGACAAGCAGAUCAAGGUUGGAGCCAACUUUUGGUUGUACACAGCAGGCUGUUUUCGAGCAUCCACGGCUGAUUGCUUUUGGACCCUUUGGCCUGAUUUUCGUCUUCCUCGUCUGAACCAAACGACAAAGAAAAAAAAAGUUAUCUAUUCGCUUUUAACAUUCUUCCCAGACUACAAGACCACUUCUGUGACUGGGUCACCGCUCCGAAAUUCAGAUCGUCCUAAGGAAGUUUACCUUCACCCCUGUAACCUUUACUCCUGACCUUUACCUUCUCAUCCCUCUUCGAAAGCAGCGCCAUGCUGAAGGUCGUCGUCGCCGCGGCAGUUGCUGUCGUCGUACUGACGUCACUGACGGUGUACACGCCAGUGAUGGGACGCCACGUGUUCACCAAGAGCGACUUGUGCCCCACCUGCAACGUCAGCCACCUGACGGUGGACACCUUCAAACAGCGCUACCUGGGCGCGUGCCUGGUGUGCGGCGAGUUCUACGGCUCGGAGAUCGAGCACUGCUGCAUGUGCCACGAGCGCUGGUUCGACGACUGCUACAUCGCCACCGCCGGCGAUCUCGUCCUUCCCGCCGAAGUCGAGAAGCUGGACAUUUGAGGAAUCCUUUUGUCAGACCUUCUCCCCUUCCUUGAAGGCUCAGCCGAGUGCAGCAUUAUUGUUAACGAGGGGCCGUGGUUCUGAAGAGGUUAGAAACCAAGAGACUGGAUGCGUUGAAAGGUUCUCUUAACUGGACAACGAGGUUGAUUGAUAAUCUAGAGGUCCUUUGUCUCGUGUAAUGUCCACCGUUACGGUUGUGUUUGGACUCUAGGUAUUGGGCAGAAGUAAAGCAGUCUUUCAGGUUGUUAAACUUAAAAAAUAUGAAUAAUUCAUUUUAAGAAAGCAUCUUUGUCCUUUUGAUCGAUUGCUCAUCCCUGGAGUUAGUUUCCCUAUAUAUCUUCAGUAACGUCUAACAAUGGAAGAAUAAGCACGACCAAGUGAAAGCAAAAGCGACAACCAAAAAAAA